UUAUUUGUGUGCCGUCGUUGG
Molecule: non-coding RNA, 21 nt
Organism: Caenorhabditis elegans
Lineage: Eukaryota; Metazoa; Nematoda; Chromadorea; Rhabditida; Rhabditidae
Source: Ensembl